RNAcentral lists this microRNA (22 nucleotides) under Dasypus novemcinctus (nine-banded armadillo). Its description in RNAcentral is "dno-miR-6529-3p". The record is from miRBase by way of RNAcentral. RNAcentral also lists the same sequence under 11 other names. Lineage: Eukaryota; Metazoa; Chordata; Mammalia; Cingulata; Dasypodidae.
CCUGUGCCUUUUACCUCUUUAA